UUUUUGAAUAUAAUUUAAAGUCUAACCUGCCCACUGAUAGAAAUAUUAAAGGGCCGCGGUAUUUUGACUGUGCAAAGGUAGCAUAAUCAUUUGUCUUUUAAUUGAAGGCUGGAAUGAAUGGUUGGAUGAAAUAUUAACUGUCUCAUUUUUAAAAAGAUAAAAAUUUAGCUUUUUAGUUAAAAGGCUAAAAUUAAUUUAAAGGACGAGAAGACCCUAUAGAUCUUUAUAAUAAAAAUUUUAUGAUAAAAUAGUUUUAAAUAAUAUUAUAAGAUAAAUUAUUAUUUGUUGGGGUGAUGGGAAAAUUAAAUAAACUUUUUUUAAUUAAUUAACAUAAAUUAAUGAAUUUAUGAUCCAAUUUUAUUGAUUAAAAGAUUAAGUUACCUUAGGGAUAACAGCGUAAUUUUUUUGGAGAGUUCAUAUCGAUAAAAAAGAUUGCGACCUCGAUGUUGAAUUAAAGGUUAUUUCUAGAUGUAGGAGUUUAGAGUUUAGGUCUGUUCGACCUUUGAAUCUUU
This 512-nucleotide ribosomal RNA is filed under the name Oliarces clara. RNAcentral's name for it is "partial 16S ribosomal RNA". It matches the Rfam family "Bacterial large subunit ribosomal RNA", at positions 1831 to 2597 of the family's 2925-position model. Lineage: Eukaryota; Metazoa; Arthropoda; Insecta; Neuroptera; Ithonidae. The record is from RNAcentral.